RNAcentral lists this unclassified non-coding RNA (377 nucleotides) under uncultured Actinomycetes bacterium. RNAcentral describes it as "uncultured actinobacterium contains 16S-23S intergenic spacer region". Lineage: Bacteria; Bacillati; Actinomycetota; Actinomycetes. The record is from RNAcentral.
UCCGAUUUGUCACCGGCAGUCUCCCAUGAGUCCCCGACAUUACUCGCUGGCAACAUGGGACAGGGGUUGCGCUCGUUGCGAGACUUAACCCAACAUCUCACGACACGAGCUGACGACAGCCAUGCACCACCUGUCAUGGGCCCUUUCGGACACCGUAUCUCUACGGCUUUUCCCAUUAUGUCAAACCCAGGUAAGGUUCUUCGGGUCGCAUCGAAUUAAGCCGCAUGCUCCGCCGCUUGUGCGGGGACCCGUCAAUUCCUUUGAGUUUUAGCCUUGCGGCCGUACUCCCCAGGCGGGGUGCUUAAUGCGUUAGCUUCGGCACGGAUGGGGUCGAUGUCCACCCACACCUAGCACCCAACGUUUACGGCGUGGACUAC